GGCCCUAUCGUCUAGCGGCUUAGGACACUGCUCUCUCACAGCAGAAACUCGGGUUCGACUCCCGAUAGGGCCACAA
This 76-nucleotide transfer RNA is filed under the name bacterium (Candidatus Gribaldobacteria) CG_4_10_14_0_2_um_filter_36_18. RNAcentral's name for it is "tRNA-Glu". It matches the Rfam family "tRNA". From Rfam's summary of the family: Transfer RNA (tRNA) molecules are approximately 80 nucleotides in length. Their secondary structure includes four short double-helical elements and three loops (D, anti-codon, and T loops). Lineage: Bacteria; Candidatus Gribaldobacteria. The record is from RNAcentral.